CAUCAACUGAUCACAAAUCAAAGCAAAUUCUCAACCACACAGCCCCAAAAGCAACUUCCACCACCAUCAUCACACAACCGCAGUCCCAGGUUUCAACAUUUCGUAGAUACCAACAUCGUACCAUUGGUAGUAGUCGGAGGGUUUAUUGGAAUAGUUAUACUGUAUCGCACAUUUUUCCUUCAAAACUACAUUUGCGUUUGCCCUCGGCCAACGUGCUAUGGAUACUCUUCAAGGCUAUGGCGUUACAUUCUCGAUCAGCUAGGGUACGAGGAUACUCCACACUAUUAACAUCCUUACGCUCCUCUAACAGAAAUCGUGCAAGGAUUCGUCAAGACAAGAACCAUCCACUACUUUGACAUCGACAUUACACUGCCGAAGUAGUGAUUUAUUGGAAUUAAUUAUGAAAAUUCGAGGCGAGCACGAAUGUGUCACACGGUGCCAACCACCCACGGCCCAAUCGCCCAGUAAAGGUAUGCAAUGGAUGAAUGAGGAUAAUAAAUGGUAAUUUUCGUAAAA
Anopheles gambiae (African malaria mosquito) is the source of this 516-nucleotide long non-coding RNA. RefSeq lists it as uncharacterized. Lineage: Eukaryota; Metazoa; Arthropoda; Insecta; Diptera; Culicidae. The record is from RefSeq and is a predicted model, not a curated record. The transcript is spliced from 2 exons.